ACUGAGAGAAACAUUAACAAAACACCUGUUAAUCUGAGACAGUGUUCUAUGAAACAUCAGUUUCAACUUUACAUCGUCUGUGCAACAAAUUCGACAUCAAAGAGAAAAUAGGUGUCAGUGACCUAGAUGACUCUUCCUAAAAUGACUCAUUUGGAAAAGAUUUGACAAUCAAAAGGAUUUGUCUUUCUUUUGAAGCAACAUCCAGUUAGCUUAGCUUCGCGCAAACACUGUACACAUGAAGAACAGCUAGCCUGGUUCAGCACAGUGCUAACGAACUCUUCUCAGAGCACCUCUAAAGCUCACAAACCAACACACUACUGUUUAUCUGAUGAUAUUUGUACUAAUUCAGGCUGUUGUAAACAAAGCUAACAGGCUCAUUUCAAAUUGGUCAUAAUAAUGACAUUGAUACCACAUGAUGACAAAUAAUUUGUCAAAUAACCUCUAAAUGGUGUCUCUAAUCUCAUUGGUUCCACAAGCUUAAAGACAUUUUGACCUCAUUUUCUGACUUUUGCAUGACAGGUGAAUUGGUGAGAUAUUGUGAAAAUAGGAUUUGUCUACAGUUAACAUUUGAGGGGCAUGACUCUGACUAGAGAGUCCCAGGCCUUUAACUCACAUGCAUGACACCAAUGACUAUGUCCCUUAAAUCAUAAAUCUCCUUAUUACAUGACUAUUCUAACGUGACUAACUGUCCAAAAACAAGGAUUGAAUACAAUACCAGAACAUCUAUUAAACAACCCAACUUGAAUACAAUCGUGGUUUUGUUGCUCAGUCUGUGGUAACAUACACGCUGGCGUGCUGUUGGAGCUCAUUUGUUCACCUCAAGUGGAGAAUUGUCACCGUUUCCAUGGAAAUGGCAGGAAGUCAGUAGCAAUCACAGGAAGUUGAAACCCCUCUGUCGCACGGUUAGCUGAGUGAUGACGACAACCGGUCCUGGUCCUGAGGCUGAGUCCAUGCGCAGGACGCAGGUUUCUGUGGCAGCCGCAACGCCCGAGCAGCUCUACUGCGGAAGCAGGCUGCCGGUUG
This 1023-nucleotide long non-coding RNA is filed under the name Scophthalmus maximus (turbot). RNAcentral's name for it is "lncRNA (ENSSMAG00000031215.1)". Lineage: Eukaryota; Metazoa; Chordata; Actinopteri; Pleuronectiformes; Scophthalmidae. The record is from RNAcentral.